AAAUUGAAGAGUUUGAUCAUGGCUCAGAUUGAACGCUGGCGGCAGGCCUAACACAUGCAAGUCGAACGGUAACAGGAAGCAGCUUGCUGCUUCGCUGACGAGUGGCGGACGGGUGAGUAAUGUCUGGGAAACUGCCUGAUGGAGGGGGAUAACUACUGGAAACGGUAGCUAAUACCGCAUAACGUCGCAAGACCAAAGAGGGGGACCUUCGGGCCUCUUGCCAUCGGAUGUGCCCAGAUGGGAUUAGCUUGUUGGUGGGGUAACGGCUCACCAAGGCGACGAUCCCUAGCUGGUCUGAGAGGAUGACCAGCCACACUGGAACUGAGACACGGUCCAGACUCCUACGGGAGGCAGCAGUGGGGAAUAUUGCACAAUGGGCGCAAGCCUGAUGCAGCCAUGCCGCGUGUAUGAAGAAGGCCUUCGGGUUGUAAAGUACUUUCAGCGGGGAGGAAGGGAGUAAAGUUAAUACCUUUGCUCAUUGACGUUACCCGCAGAAGAAGCACCGGCUAACUCCGUGCCAGCAGCCGCGGUAAUACGGAGGGUGCAAGCGUUAAUCGGAAUUACUGGGCGUAAAGCGCACGCAGGCGGUUUGUUAAGUCAGAUGUGAAAUCCCCGGGCUCAACCUGGGAACUGCAUCUGAUACUGGCAAGCUUGAGUCUCGUAGAGGGGGGUAGAAUUCCAGGUGUAGCGGUGAAAUGCGUAGAGAUCUGGAGGAAUACCGGUGGCGAAGGCGGCCCCCUGGACGAAGACUGACGCUCAGGUGCGAAAGCGUGGGGAGCAAACAGGAUUAGAUACCCUGGUAGUCCACGCCGUAAACGAUGUCGACUUGGAGGUUGUGCCCUUGAGGCGUGGCUUCCGGAGCUAACGCGUUAAGUCGACCGCCUGGGGAGUACGGCCGCAAGGUUAAAACUCAAAUGAAUUGACGGGGGCCCGCACAAGCGGUGGAGCAUGUGGUUUAAUUCGAUGCAACGCGAAGAACCUUACCUGGUCUUGACAUCCACGGAAGUUUUCAGAGAUGAGAAUGUGCCUUCGGGAACCGUGAGACAGGUGCUGCAUGGCUGUCGUCAGCUCGUGUUGUGAAAUGUUGGGUUAAGUCCCGCAACGAGCGCAACCCUUAUCCUUUGUUGCCAGCGGUCCGGCCGGGAACUCAAAGGAGACUGCCAGUGAUAAACUGGAGGAAGGUGGGGAUGACGUCAAGUCAUCAUGGCCCUUACGACCAGGGCUACACACGUGCUACAAUGGCGCAUACAAAGAGAAGCGACCUCGCGAGAGCAAGCGGACCUCAUAAAGUGCGUCGUAGUCCGGAUUGGAGUCUGCAACUCGACUCCAUGAAGUCGGAAUCGCUAGUAAUCGUGGAUCAGAAUGCCACGGUGAAUACGUUCCCGGGCCUUGUACACACCGCCCGUCACACCAUGGGAGUGGGUUGCAAAAGAAGUAGGUAGCUUAACCUUCGGGAGGGCGCUUACCACUUUGUGAUUCAUGACUGGGGUGAAGUCGUAACAAGGUAACCGUAGGGGAACCUGCGGUUGGAUCACCUCCUUACCUUAAAGAAGC
RNAcentral lists this ribosomal RNA (1554 nucleotides) under Escherichia coli. Its description in RNAcentral is "bacterial SSU rRNA". It matches the Rfam family "Bacterial small subunit ribosomal RNA". RNAcentral also lists the same sequence under 12 other names. Lineage: Bacteria; Pseudomonadati; Pseudomonadota; Gammaproteobacteria; Enterobacterales; Enterobacteriaceae. The record is from RNAcentral.